This is a non-coding RNA of Cryomorphaceae bacterium BACL18 MAG-120924-bin36, 105 nucleotides long. The record is from Rfam. Lineage: Bacteria; Pseudomonadati; Bacteroidota; Flavobacteriia; Flavobacteriales; Cryomorphaceae.
UGCACCUGGGCAAGGCCUUACGACCAGCUCCUGACGAAUCCCCCAGGGUAGAAAUGCAGCAAGGGUAGUCGGUUGUAGCGGUGCGAUAAGUGUCCUUGCCCUUUU